This 399-nucleotide ribosomal RNA is filed under the name uncultured bacterium. RNAcentral's name for it is "bacterial SSU rRNA". It matches the Rfam family "Bacterial small subunit ribosomal RNA", at positions 355 to 750 of the family's 1533-position model. The record is from RNAcentral.
UAAGGAAUAUUGGUCAAUGGGCGCAAGCCUGAACCAGCCAUGCCGCGUGAAGGGUGACGGCCCUAUGGGUUGUAAACUUCUUUUGUACGGGAAAAAACCUCUGGUCGUGUACCAGAGCUGAUGGUACCGUAAGAAUAAGCAUCGGCUAACUCCGUGCCAGCAGCCGCGGUAAUACGGAGGAUGCAAGCGUUAUCCGGAUUCAUUGGGUUUAAAAGGGUGCGCAGGCGAUUAUUAAGUCAGUGGUGAAGACCUACAGCUUAACUGUAGAACUGCCAUUGAUACUGAUAUUCUUGAGUGUUGUUGAGGUAGGCGGAAUGUGUCAUGUAGCGGUGAAAUGCUUAGAUAUGACACAGAACACCGAUCGCGAAGGCAGCUUACCAAGCAACAACUGACGCUCAU